This 638-nucleotide long non-coding RNA is filed under the name Capra hircus (goat). Its description in RNAcentral is "lncRNA (ENSCHIG00000008155.1)". The record is from RNAcentral. Lineage: Eukaryota; Metazoa; Chordata; Mammalia; Artiodactyla; Bovidae.
CUGAGGGGAGGAGGAGAAAAUACAGUGAGCAAGAGAACAAGAGAUCUACUGAUCCAUCUGGAACCCAGUGUCAGUUCAACCUAGCGGAAACUGAGCCUGGCUCAGGUCGUGCUGCAGCCUCCCAAAUAGCUCAGCUUCAUUCCCUCCGCCAAGUUAUUCUCCUUCCUCAUGAUUAUUCAUUCACGCAAUCAUCCACCUGCAGUUCGACAAGUGUGGAUCUCGAGCUUCUAUUCUGCUUUUUAUUCUGUGCAACUGGUGGGAGUCCCUGAGGAUGAAUGAGAAGGGACCUGCAUCUUCAAGAAGAGCUCAGAAUCUCCUAGGAGUAGAUAGGAUUCCUGCAAAUCAUUACAGUGCAAGACAGAUUGGGCGACUGCAGGAAAUCCUGAGGCGGUGGGUCUCUCCGGCUGAAGACCCCAGGGGAUACCGCUGGGCUGACCUGAGCUGGGGGGCGCUGUUGAGCACUGGGAGGAGGAGCCGCAGAAGUCACAGCUGGGGCUGUUGCUGCCUGUCGCCCAGGCAGCGAGCUGCGCUGCAGGUAAAAAUAGGCUGCCGGGGUGGGGAGCGCUGGAACUGCCACCUCGGAGCGAGCGGUUCUCAGCAAAAGCAAAGCAGCAUAUGGUAAGCUGUUGAUGGGGAUG